Molecule: ribosomal RNA, 851 nt
Filed under: Sphaerellopsis paraphysata
Lineage: Eukaryota; Fungi; Ascomycota; Dothideomycetes; Pleosporales; Leptosphaeriaceae
Description: partial large subunit ribosomal RNA
Rfam family: Eukaryotic large subunit ribosomal RNA
Source: RNAcentral
AUUGCCCUAGUAACGGCGAGUGAAGCGGCAACAGCUCAAAUUUGAAAUCUGGCUCUUUCAGAGUCCGAGUUGUAAUUUGCAGAGGGCGCUUUGGUGUUGGCAGCGGUCCAAGUUCCUUGGAACAGGACGUCACAGAGGGUGAGAAUCCCGUACGUGGUCGCUAGCCUCCGCCGUGUAAAGCCCCUUCGACGAGUCGAGUUGUUUGGGAAUGCAGCUCUAAAUGGGAGGUAAAUUUCUUCUAAAGCUAAAUACUGGCCAGAGACCGAUAGCGCACAAGUAGAGUGAUCGAAAGAUGAAAAGCACUUUGGAAAGAGAGUCAAAUAGCACGUGAAAUUGUUGAAAGGGAAGCGCUUGCAGCCAGACUUGCCUGUAGUUGCUCAUCUGGGCUUUUGCCCGGUGCAUUCUUCUGCAGGCAGGCCAGCAUCAGUUUGGGCGGUUGGAUAAAGGUCUCUGUCAUGUACCUCUCUUCGGGGAGGCCUUAUAGGGGAGACGUCAUGCAACCAGCCUGGACUGAGGUCCGCGCAUUUGCUAGGAUGCUGGCGUAAUGGCUGUAAGCGGCCCGUCUUGAAACACGGACCAAGGAGUCUAACAUCUAUGCGAGUGUUUGGGUGUCAAGCCCGAGCGCGUAAUGAAAGUGAACGGAGGUGGGAACCCUUUUGGGGUGCACCAUCGACCGAUCCUGAUGUCUUCGGAAGGAUUUGAGUAAGAGCAUGGCUGUUGGGACCCGAAAGAUGGUGAACUAUGCUUGAAUAGGGUGAAGCCAGAGGAAACUCUGGUGGAGGCUCGCAGCGGUUCUGACGUGCAAAUCGAUCGUCAAAUUUGGGCAUAGGGGCGAAAGACUAAUCGAACUU